Molecule: non-coding RNA, 112 nt
Organism: Cordylochernes scorpioides
Lineage: Eukaryota; Metazoa; Arthropoda; Arachnida; Pseudoscorpiones; Chernetidae
Source: the annotation of a GenBank genome assembly
CCCCUUAUAUAACUGAAUGCAAUUCAACUAGUCGAACUGUGAAGUUAAGCAAUGUCGGGCCCGGUCAGUACUUGGGAGGGUGACCACCUGGGAACACCGGGUGCUGUAGGCU